CCUACGGGAGGCUGCAGUGGGGAAUAUUGGACAAUGGGGGGAACCCUGAUCCAGCCAUGCCGCGUGUGUGAAGAAGGCCCUCGGGUUGUAAAGCACUUUCAGUGAGGAAGAACGCCUGGUGGUUAAUACCCAUCAGGAAAGACAUCACUCACAGAAGAAGCACCGGCUAACUCCGUGCCAGCAGCCGCGGUAAUACGGAGGGUGCGAGCGUUAAUCGGAAUUACUGGGCGUAAAGUGCGCGUAGGUGGCUUGAUAAGCCGGUUGUGAAAGCCCCGGGCUCAACCUGGGAACGGCAUCCGGAACUGUCAAGCUAGAGUGCAGGAGAGGAAGGUAGAAUUCCCGGUGUAGCGGUGAAAUGCGUAGAGAUCGGGAGGAAUACCAGUGGCGAAGGCGGCCUUCUGGACUGACACUGACACUGAGGUGCGAAAGCGUGGGUAGCAAACAGGAUUAGAUACCCUAGUAGUC
RNAcentral lists this ribosomal RNA (465 nucleotides) under Vreelandella stevensii. Its description in RNAcentral is "partial 16S ribosomal RNA". It matches the Rfam family "Bacterial small subunit ribosomal RNA", at positions 338 to 795 of the family's 1533-position model. Lineage: Bacteria; Pseudomonadati; Pseudomonadota; Gammaproteobacteria; Oceanospirillales; Halomonadaceae. The record is from RNAcentral.